Molecule: ribosomal RNA, 2554 nt
Filed under: Bacillus anthracis str. BF1
Lineage: Bacteria; Bacillati; Bacillota; Bacilli; Caryophanales; Bacillaceae
Description: bacterial LSU rRNA
Rfam family: Bacterial large subunit ribosomal RNA
Source: RNAcentral
GGUUAAGUUAGAAAGGGCGCACGGUGGAUGCCUUGACACUAGGAGUCGAUGAAGGACGGGACUAACGCCGAUAUGCUUCGGGGAGCUGUAAGUAAGCUUUGAUCCGAAGAUUUCCGAAUGGGGAAACCCACCAUACGUAAUGGUAUGGUAUCCUUAUCUGAAUACAUAGGGUAAGGAAGACAGACCCAGGGAACUGAAACAUCUAAGUACCUGGAGGAAGAGAAAGCAAAUGCGAUUUCCUGAGUAGCGGCGAGCGAAACGGAACAUAGCCCAAACCAAGAGGCUUGCCUCUUGGGGUUGUAGGACAUUCUAUACGGAGUUACAAAGGAACGAGGUAGACGAAGCGACCUGGAAAGGUCCGUCGUAGAGGGUAACAACCCCGUAGUCGAAACUUCGUUCUCUCUUGAAUGUAUCCUGAGUACGGCGGAACACGUGAAAUUCCGUCGGAAUCUGGGAGGACCAUCUCCCAAGGCUAAAUACUCCCUAGUGAUCGAUAGUGAACCAGUACCGUGAGGGAAAGGUGAAAAGCACCCCGGAAGGGGAGUGAAAGAGAUCCUGAAACCGUGUGCCUACAAAUAGUCAGAGCCCGUUAACGGGUGAUGGCGUGCCUUUUGUAGAAUGAACCGGCGAGUUACGAUCCCGUGCGAGGUUAAGCUGAAGAGGCGGAGCCGCAGCGAAAGCGAGUCUGAAUAGGGCGUUUAGUACGUGGUCGUAGACCCGAAACCAGGUGAUCUACCAUGUCCAGGGUGAAGUUCAGGUAACACUGAAUGGAGGCCCGAACCCACGCACGUUGAAAAGUGCGGGGAUGAGGUGUGGGUAGCGGAGAAAUUCCAAUCGAACCUGGAGAUAGCUGGUUCUCCCCGAAAUAGCUUUAGGGCUAGCCUUAAGUGUAAGAGUCUUGGAGGUAGAGCACUGAUUGGACUAGGGGUCCUCAUCGGAUUACCGAAUUCAGUCAAACUCCGAAUGCCAAUGACUUAUCCUUAGGAGUCAGACUGCGAGUGAUAAGAUCCGUAGUCAAAAGGGAAACAGCCCAGACCGCCAGCUAAGGUCCCAAAGUGUGUAUUAAGUGGAAAAGGAUGUGGAGUUGCUUAGACAACUAGGAUGUUGGCUUAGAAGCAGCCACCAUUUAAAGAGUGCGUAAUAGCUCACUAGUCGAGUGACUCUGCGCCGAAAAUGUACCGGGGCUAAAUACACCACCGAAGCUGCGGAUUGAUACCAAUGGUAUCAGUGGUAGGGGAGCGUUCUAAGGACAGUGAAGUCAGACCGGAAGGACUGGUGGAGUGCUUAGAAGUGAGAAUGCCGGUAUGAGUAGCGAAAGACGGGUGAGAAUCCCGUCCACCGAAUGCCUAAGGUUUCCUGAGGAAGGCUCGUCCGCUCAGGGUUAGUCAGGACCUAAGCCGAGGCCGACAGGCGUAGGCGAUGGACAACAGGUUGAUAUUCCUGUACCACCUCUUUAUCGUUUGAGCAAUGGAGGGACGCAGAAGGAUAGAAGAAGCGUGCGAUUGGUUGUGCACGUCCAAGCAGUUAGGCUGAUAAGUAGGCAAAUCCGCUUAUCGUGAAGGCUGAGCUGUGAUGGGGAAGCUCCUUAUGGAGCGAAGUCUUUGAUUCCCCGCUGCCAAGAAAAGCUUCUAGCGAGAUAAAAGGUGCCUGUACCGCAAACCGACACAGGUAGGCGAGGAGAGAAUCCUAAGGUGUGCGAGAGAACUCUGGUUAAGGAACUCGGCAAAAUGACCCCGUAACUUCGGGAGAAGGGGUGCUUUCUUAACGGAAAGCCGCAGUGAAUAGGCCCAAGCGACUGUUUAGCAAAAACACAGCUCUCUGCGAAGCCGUAAGGCGAAGUAUAGGGGGUGACACCUGCCCGGUGCUGGAAGGUUAAGGAGAGGGGUUAGCGUAAGCGAAGCUCUGAACUGAAGCCCCAGUAAACGGCGGCCGUAACUAUAACGGUCCUAAGGUAGCGAAAUUCCUUGUCGGGUAAGUUCCGACCCGCACGAAAGGUGUAACGAUUUGGGCACUGUCUCAACCAGAGACUCGGUGAAAUUAUAGUACCUGUGAAGAUGCAGGUUACCCGCGACAGGACGGAAAGACCCCGUGGAGCUUUACUGUAGCCUGAUAUUGAAUUUUGGUACAGUUUGUACAGGAUAGGCGGGAGCCUUUGAAACCGGAGCGCUAGCUUCGGUGGAGGCGCUGGUGGGAUACCGCCCUGACUGUAUUGAAAUUCUAACCUACGGGUCUUAUCGACCCGGGAGACAGUGUCAGGUGGGCAGUUUGACUGGGGCGGUCGCCUCCUAAAGUGUAACGGAGGCGCCCAAAGGUUCCCUCAGAAUGGUUGGAAAUCAUUCGUAGAGUGCAAAGGCAUAAGGGAGCUUGACUGCGAGACCUACAAGUCGAGCAGGGACGAAAGUCGGGCUUAGUGAUCCGGUGGUUCCGCAUGGAAGGGCCAUCGCUCAACGGAUAAAAGCUACCCCGGGGAUAACAGGCUUAUCUCCCCCAAGAGUCCACAUCGACGGGGAGGUUUGGCACCUCGAUGUCGGCUCAUCGCAUCCUGGGGCUGUAG